ACUGAAUAGAUACCCGGGUAGUCCACGCCCUAAACUAUGUCGACUAGUUGUCGGGCCUUAUUGGGCUUGGUAAACGUAGCUAAACACGUGAAAGUUGACCGCCUGGGGAGUACGGUCGCAAGAUUAAAACUCAAAGGAAUUGACGGGGACCCGCACAAGCGGUGGAUUAUGUGGAUUAAUUCGAUGCAACGCGAAAAACCUUACCUACCCUUGACAUGUCAGAAAGUUUUCAGAGAUGAAAUCGUGCUCGAAAGAGAAUCUGAACACAGGUGCUGCAUGGCUGUCGUCAGCUCGUGUCGUGAGAUGUUGGGUUAAGUCCCGCAACGAGCGCAACCCUUGUCAUUAAUUGCCAUCAUUUGGUUGGGCACUUUAAUGAGACUGCCGGUGAUAAACCGGAGGAAGGUGGGGAUGACGUCAAGUCCUCAUGGCCCUUAUGGGUAGGGCUUCACACGUAAUACAAUGGCGCGUACAGAGAGUUGCCAACUCGCGAGAGGGAGCUAAUCUCAGAAAGCGCGUCGUAGUCCGGAUCGGAGUCUGC
RNAcentral lists this ribosomal RNA (538 nucleotides) under uncultured bacterium. RNAcentral's name for it is "bacterial SSU rRNA". It matches the Rfam family "Bacterial small subunit ribosomal RNA", at positions 772 to 1308 of the family's 1533-position model. The record is from RNAcentral.